Long non-coding RNA from Cynocephalus volans (Philippine flying lemur), 2157 nucleotides. RefSeq lists it as uncharacterized. Lineage: Eukaryota; Metazoa; Chordata; Mammalia; Dermoptera; Cynocephalidae. The transcript has 3 exons. The record is from RefSeq and is a predicted model, not a curated record.
UGAGAGGGCUUCUCCUGAAUUGGGGGAUCUCCAGCCUUGCAGCCUCUCCUGUAUCUGCCAAGACAAGGGCUCUGAGCUCUGUUCAGAUAUCUGUGCCUCCCCGGGGUGCUCUCUCAGUGGUGACCCCAACACUGCCCUCUGGGCCUUGCCCUCGCUUGUCCCUGGCUGCCUCCUUUUUAAUCCAGUGAGCUGGCUGCAACCAGCCAGGGCACAAGCCACUCCCCAGAUGGCUAAGUAGUGUAGCCACAAGGGGAAGGAAGGGCCAGCUCCCACAUCCUGGGCACCUACUGUGUGUCAGGCAGGCCCCAGGAAAGGAACUUUGUACUCAUAUUGUUAUCACAUUUCUUUCUCACAGCAGAGCCUCAUGAGGCAAAUAUUAUCACACUCAUUUCACAGAGGAGGAAGUCGAAGCUGGGCCUGGCAGUGUGAGUACUUGGGCCCAGACCUGUCUGACUCCUGCUUGUGUCUCCUCUCUCCCCAGCUGCAGAAAGCUCAUGCUCUGAAUCACUGUGCGCUCACUGCUGCUCUACUCCUGCAUCAUCCGUGCCCACCCAGUUGCACACACUUGCAGCUCACAAGCACCAAGGCUGAGAACCUGACACAGCAGAUGGAAAUAACCCUGUGAGGCUGCUUCUGGGUCUUGGCUGGGAGGACCAGACACACCACAUUGUUCCUUCUCCUUGGCAUCGGAUGUUGCUCAGGGAAAUGUUAGCAGGCAAACACAAUUACUGUGCAAUAUUAGAAAAGAUGCCAUCAAAGCUGUUGCUUGUCUGUGAACUUCUGCGGUGGCUUUUGCCCAGAAGCAGUAAACUGGGAAGGAAGCAGGAAGGCAGGUUGAGACUGGCUCCUCCUGGAGUUCCCUGGCACUUUCCCCAGCUGCCUCACCCUCCCUCCAGCCUGCAGCCCUGCCUGAGUCAUGCAGCUCCCAGCACUCCUGGGACAGCUGAGCCCUGUGAACGCAUGCAGCAUUCGUCAGCAGCCCAGGCUCACACCGUUCCCUGUGCAUCACCCUCCACCUGGUCCUGGAAGUGCUCCACUACCUCAGGGUGUUCAACAGCCAAAAUCCUGGGCUACUGCUGGGCAAGAUCCUUCAUAGAUUUGCCAUGUGCCAUGCCUCACCUGCUAGACCAUAAAUGUCUUGAGGGCAGGGACCUUUCAUCUUCUCAUUUGAGUGCUCAGUAAGCACCUACUAUGUGCCAGGCACAGUGCUGGAUGCCAGGUACAAUGGGGUUGACAUGCAGUCAGCACACAAUGGAACAGUGUAGCUGCCCUGAGACCUCUGAGAAUCCUUGGCUGUCCCUGACUGUACUGCCUAGGCCUCCUCACAGUCCUUCCACUAAGGGGCUAAUGUCUGUCACUGCAGGGGAAGUCCAAGAACUCUGGACACACAUCUUGGACCUCCUGGACUUCUCUGGCCUCUGCAGGUGUGUGCCUGGUGUAGGGCAGGUCCUCACUGGGAUGGAUGGGGCUGGUGUUAAUGAUGAUUCACCUGAUGAUGACCCUGCAGAACAUAAAGUACUUCUGGGUGCAGACAUGCAGGAGACCUUGAAAGUCAUUCUGUGACAGUGUCCUCACUGGUAACCCUCAGAGUCAAGUUUGGCCAUGGGCAAAUCCCUUGUGACCUCUUUAUUUUCUCCAGCAUCCAGCCAGUCCUCUCUCUCUUUUCUGGCUUCUGUAUCACUAGUGGAUUUGUGGCUUUGCUGGCAGGUGCCAGUUCCCUGGAGCCUAUGAACUUCUCAUCAGCUCCAUCCAAUAAUCUUGACAGGAGCCUGAAGCCUAUUUAAAGUUGCUGCCCCCUGGUGGAGCCUUACUAAGUUCCUGGUUAUGGUCCAAGGUCAUUGCCAGCUCUUAGCUCAUGGGCAGAGCUGAGACCUUUCUUUGCCAUGCCUGGUGCCCAGCUCAGGCUCCCAGGUCUGCCCCCUCUCCAGGGAUCCUCACACAUCCCAGAAUGGUCUUCCAGGACCUGUCCCUGCAGUGUUCACAGUGUCAGAACACAGCAACAAAAGCAGAUGUAAAUGCUUCCAGCAGAAGGAAGGAGGGUUUUGCACUCCUGGACCAGGGCUGAGGCAGGGCUGUGUAUUAAGAGUGUAGACUUUAGACGGUUCAAUUAAAAUUAUAUGUGGAAAGUCCUUAUUAUCAUUAAAGGCACCAUGAGGA